GAGUUUGAUCAUGGCUCAGAUUGAACGCUAGCGGGAUGCCUUACACAUGCAAGUCGAACGGCAGCACGGACUUCGGUCUGGUGGCGAGUGGCGAACGGGUGAGUAAUGUAUCGGAACGUGCCCAGUAGCGGGGGAUAACUACGCGAAAGCGUAGCUAAUACCGCAUACGCCCUACGGGGGAAAGCAGGGGAUCGCAAGACCUUGCACUAUUGGAGCGGCCGAUAUCGGAUUAGCUAGUUGGUGGGGUAACGGCUCACCAAGGCGACGAUCCGUAGCUGGUUUGAGAGGACGACCAGCCACACUGGGACUGAGACACGGCCCAGACUCCUACGGGAGGCAGCAGUGGGGAAUUUUGGACAAUGGGGGAAACCCUGAUCCAGCCAUCCCGCGUGUGCGAUGAAGGCCUUCGGGUUGUAAAGCACUUUUGGCAGGAAAGAAACGUCAUGGGUUAAUACCCCGUGAAACUGACGGUACCUGCAGAAUAAGCACCGGCUAACUACGUGCCAGCAGCCGCGGUAAUACGUAGGGUGCAAGCGUUAAUCGGAAUUACUGGGCGUAAAGCGUGCGCAGGCGGUUCGGAAAGAAAGAUGUGAAAUCCCAGAGCUUAACUUUGGAACUGCAUUUUUAACUACCGGGCUAGAGUGUGUCAGAGGGAGGUGGAAUUCCGCGUGUAGCAGUGAAAUGCGUAGAUAUGCGGAGGAACACCGAUGGCGAAGGCAGCCUCCUGGGAUAACACUGACGCUCAUGCACGA
This 752-nucleotide ribosomal RNA is filed under the name uncultured Achromobacter sp. Its description in RNAcentral is "bacterial SSU rRNA". It matches the Rfam family "Bacterial small subunit ribosomal RNA", at positions 9 to 756 of the family's 1533-position model. The record is from RNAcentral. Lineage: Bacteria; Pseudomonadati; Pseudomonadota; Betaproteobacteria; Burkholderiales; Alcaligenaceae.